RNAcentral lists this ribosomal RNA (222 nucleotides) under uncultured bacterium. RNAcentral describes it as "partial 16S ribosomal RNA". It matches the Rfam family "Bacterial small subunit ribosomal RNA", at positions 328 to 539 of the family's 1533-position model. The record is from RNAcentral.
ACGCUCGACACCUACGGGAGGAGCAGUAGGGAAUCUUCCACAAUGGACGCAAGUCUGAUGGAGCAACGCCGCGUGAGUGAAGAAGGUCUUCGGAUCGUAAAACUCUGUUGUUAGAGAAGAACACGAGUGAGAGUAACUGUUCAUUCGAUGACGGUAUCUAACCAGCAAGUCACGGCUAACUACGUGCCAGCAGCCGCGGUAAUCUGAGCGGGCUGGCAAGGC